AGGUAGUAACAGAGGGUUCGAUCAUGGCUCAGAUUGAACGCUGGCGAUGCUUUACACAUGCAAGUCGAACGGCAGCACGGACUUCGGCCUCGGUGGCGAGGGCGAACGGGUGAGAAUGUAUCGGAACGUGCCUAGUAGCGGGGAUAACUACGCGAAAGCGUUAAUACCGCACACAAUACCCUUCGGGGGAAAGCGGGGAACCUUCGGGCCUCGCACUAUUAGAGCGGCCGAUCUUCUGAUUAGCCAGUUGGUGGGGUAACGGCUCACCAAGGCGACGAUCCGUAGCUGGUUUGAGAGGACGACCAGCCACACUGGGACUGAGGCACGGCCCAGACUCCUACGGGAGGCAGCAGUGGGGAAUUUUGACAAUCGGGGAAACCCUGAUCCAGCCAUCCUCUGCGUGUGCGAUGAAGGCUCGCUAAAGCACUUCUUUUGGCAGUGAGAAGAACGGCACGGAUAUCACCCUGUGCCAACUGACGGUACCUGCAGAAUAAGCACCGGCUAACCACGUGCCAGCAGCCGCGGUAAUACGUGUAGGGCGCGUUAAUCGGAAUUACUGGGCGUAAGCGUGCGUGCAGGCGGUUCGGAAAGAAAGAUGUGAAAUCCCAGAGCUUAACUUUGGGAACUGCAUUUUUAACUACCGAGCUAGAGAGUGUGUCAGAGGGAGGGAAUUCCGCGUGUAGCAGUGAAAAUGCGUAGAUAUGCGGAGGAACACCGAUGGCGAAGGCAGCCUCUGGGAUAACACUGACGUCUGGCUAUGCACGAAAGCGUGGGGAGCAAACAGGGAUUAGAUACUCCUGAUAGUCCACGUCCUUAAACGAUGUCAACUAGCUGUUGGGGCCUUCGGCCUUGGUAGCGCAGCUAACGCGUGAAGUUGACCGCCUGGGGAGUACGGUCGCAAGAUUAAAACUCACAAAGAAUUGACGGGGACCCGCACAAGCGGUGGAUGAUGCGACUAAUUCGAUGCAACGCGAAAACCUUACCUACCUCUUUGACAUGUCUGGAAUCCCGAAAGACGGGAGUGCUCGCAAGAGAACCGGAACACAGGUGUCGCAUGGCUGUCGUCAGUCUGCAAUGAGAUGUUGGGUUGCGUCCCGCAACGAGCGCAACCCUUGCCGCUAGUUGCCACGAGCGGCACUCUAUCGAGACUGCUGCGACAAACCGGAGGCGCGCUGCGGGGAUGACGUCAAGUCCUCAUGGCCCUUAUGCCAUGGGCUUCACACGUCAUACAAUGGUCGGGACAUAUAUCGCCAACCCGCGAGGGGAGCCAAUCCCAGAAACCCGAUCGUAGUCCGGAUCGCAGUCUGCAACCUCGACUGCGUGAAGUCGGAAUCGCUAGUAAUCGCGGAUCAGCAUGUCGCGGUGAAUACGUUCCCGGGUCUUGUACACACCGCCCGUCACUAACGGCGUAAGAGUGGGUUUUACCAGGCGGUUAGCUCAAACCGUAAGGAGGGCGAUUACCACGGUAGGAUCUAUGACUGGGUGAAGUCGUAACAAGGUAA
Molecule: ribosomal RNA, 1502 nt
Filed under: uncultured Bordetella sp.
Lineage: Bacteria; Pseudomonadati; Pseudomonadota; Betaproteobacteria; Burkholderiales; Alcaligenaceae
Description: partial 16S-23S ribosomal RNA intergenic spacer
Rfam family: Bacterial small subunit ribosomal RNA
Source: RNAcentral